This 253-nucleotide ribosomal RNA is filed under the name uncultured bacterium. RNAcentral describes it as "partial 16S ribosomal RNA". It matches the Rfam family "Bacterial small subunit ribosomal RNA", at positions 524 to 776 of the family's 1533-position model. The record is from RNAcentral.
UACGUAGGGCGCAAGCGUUGUCCGGAAUUAUUGGGCGUAAAGAGCUCGUAGGCGGUUUGUCGCGUCUGCUGUGAAAACCUAAGGCUCAACCUUGGGCUUGCAGUGGGUACGGGCAGACUAGAGUGCGGUAGGGGUGACUGGAAUUCCUGGUGUAGCGGUGGAAUGCGCAGAUAUCAGGAGGAACACCGAUGGCGAAGGCAGGUCACUGGGCCGCAACUGACGCUGAGGCGCGAAAGCUAGGGGAGCAAACGGG